RNAcentral lists this unclassified non-coding RNA (197 nucleotides) under fungal sp. RNAcentral's name for it is "partial internal transcribed spacer region". The stretch from base 1 to 46 matches the Rfam family "Eukaryotic small subunit ribosomal RNA", at positions 1786 to 1831 of the family's 1831-position model. RNAcentral also lists the same sequence under 1 other name. Lineage: Eukaryota; Fungi. The record is from RNAcentral.
AAGUCGUAACAAGGUUUCCGUAGGUGAACCUGCGGAAGGAUCAUUACAGAAAAAACGGCUCCGGCCAUUUUCUAACCCUUGACUACUAUCCUGUUGCUUCGGUGCUGCGGCACCGGCGCCAUUUCAAACUCAGAAACUGUUGUGUCUGAAAAACAUUUAAUAAAUCAAAACUUUCAACAACGGAUCUCUUGGUUCCC